This is a long non-coding RNA of Phragmites australis (common reed), 3204 nucleotides long. RefSeq lists it as uncharacterized. The transcript has 5 exons. NCBI's taxonomy places the organism in Eukaryota, Viridiplantae, Streptophyta, Magnoliopsida, Poales, Poaceae. The record is from RefSeq and is a predicted model, not a curated record.
AGCCCCAGCCCCGCGUUCUUAUCCGGUCUCCGACCGGUCUCCACGGAAGAAAUCGAGCGCCGCUCCUCUCCUGCCGGCCCACCGCCCCCGCCCUGCCCCGUCGCCCCUCCUCCGAGCCGCUGCCCCUAUCACGCCUCGCCGGCUGCCUCCCCUCUUCCCGCGCCAGCCCCAGCCUCCGCUCCUCAUCCCACCUCCUCUCGCCCCCGCGCAUCGCCGUCUCCUCGUGCCCCACCCUGGCGGCCCACCGCCCCUGCCCAGCCCCGUCGCCCCUCAUCCGAGGUCGCCGAGGUCACCAAGAAGUGCCGGACUGUGACAUCCCUUCUCGAGCUCGCCGGAGCGGUGCCGGCAGUCGAUAAGGGCACUGUUGAACAGAUCUGAGCACGGGAGGAGCGAGAGGACGCGGCGGACCAGCACUCCACAACGCGGCGUCCAGUGCUGGGCGGUGCCCACUGGUGAGGACCCAACACCGUCGUCCAAAACCACUGCAACCGCCCAGGAACCAGCGGAGUCCACUCUGCCUAGGAACCAACGGCAGGCCGAGGCCGUGCGGGCGCUCAAGGCCGGCAGUGGCGCUUCCAAGGCCGAGGUGGACAUGGUCGUUGAGGCCCUCAAGGUGCUCAAGGUCAAGGUCGGUGCCACCACGCGCCUACUCAGCAGUCCGUCCGCUUCGGCGGACUAUUAACGCGGAAGGAAUCCGCUACGGCGACCAUGCUGUUACCCUCGCCCCCUCCGCUCCAGUGACCCAGCAAUCACGUUUGGCGCCGUUGGCUCCACUUGUCGUCCCAGCCAUCACGUCCGACUACGUCGGCUCCACUCGCCGCCGCGAGAUCUGCCUCCUUCGCCGCCACCGCAGCCUUUAGCGCCUCCGACCCGGACGUCUCGAGCCCUGUCGAUGAGUUGCUACGCCAAGUGCAUGUGCGGUUUGAGGGGAAGCCGCGCGUCGCACCACCAGAGAGACCGUGCGCGUCGUCGCUGACGGCCGCGACUGCUGAGGAGGUCACCGAGCUGGUACAGCUGUAGCACCCAGCGAGCGCGGUGGACAGGUUCGUCGCCUGACCAAUUCCCCAUCGUGCGCUGAAACUCCUGUUGCCCACCGCUGGCCAAGCCGCGGCCCAGCUUGCCACCGGCGAGCUCUCAAAUGCCGGCCGUCGUCGCCCUCUCUCUCUCUCGAUUUGGAUUGGUCAGCGCAUGGAGGGUGUUACAGCCCAGACACGAUGAACACUCGAGCGAAGCAUAGCAUCUCCAGUCUUCCUUCCCAUUCCCAGCCAGCCAGCUCGCUCCCUCUCCUCUCUCCUUUCCUUCCGAAGAGAAGAGAAAUGAAAGGGGGCUGCUUUGGGCAAGGAGAGUAGGCAGUGACGCCAGAUCUGGGCCGAGGAGGGGGAGGCAGGCGCUGGCAGCAAGAGGAGAUGCCGGAAGAGAGACGGUAAGAUGAAGUCGUCGCUGCGGAGCCACCGCGGGUGAGCGACGGCGUCAUCAUCGACGCCAUGCUACUCCCUCUGUGUCCUCAGCAUUGUCAAGGCUAGAUACUGCGCCACCCCCUUCGGCAAGGCUGAGGACCAACUCCAGGAGCGGAUGAACUCCAGCAUCAGGAUGGAGACGGAGGAGUCCCCGGCCAGGAUGCCAAGAGCUAGGAAGAUAAUAUGAACAACCCUGGAGAUAAGUUGUGCCCUUUCCAGCUUAGUUAGUGUUUCAAGGUAAGCAUUCAGAUAACUCAAGGUUCUCGAAGAUUUUUUUUAUGCAAGCAUUAUCUAAGUUAUCCAAUUUGCUUUGGCCCAUUGCUGGAUGUCAAGAAAAUAAGUUGUGGCUUGAUACCAUGGUACUUAACAUGCACUUGAUGCAAAAGAAAAUCAUAUCCUCUUGGAGAUGCCUAUUCUAGAUGUCCUGCGAAAUCUGUUGAACCUAGGUACCCUUUGCCUGUUGUAUGGGUUGAUCCUUUAGAAUAUGGAAUAGAUGAUGCUACUACUGUUCAGUUUGUGUUCUUUGGGAAUUUUGGCCAGCACCUGGAACGGAUACAGCUUCUGAUGCUUGUGGAUACAACCGGAGUUUCAUCUGGGUUUAUAUCGCCAGAAAUAACAAGGUUCUAUGGCCAUAAAUAUAUCUAAAGGGCUGGUGUUUCAUAUGGUUCUCUGUAGAGGGACAUUAUAUCUUUUUAGAUUAAUUCUAUCAUAGCCAUGGAAGUCCCGGUCCAUGUUUUUCUGGUAUAGUGCACUUACUUAUUUCUGAAUUUAGUUUCACAAUAUUGCUAGCACAAACAGAUUCUGCAUUCUCCUCCAUAUGAAUGUUGCCAUCUCGCUCUGAUAUAUAAAAAAACUCUUUCAGUAUAUGGUUCAUGCUUCUCGAGAUUAAUGUGAGAUGAACUUUAAUAGGGUUAACACUUGAGCUAGCAUCACUGACCCAUCCUGCAAUUGCAAAGGCUGCUCCGCCGUUGGCACAACUUGCACUGAUGGAUUAUCCUUUUCCUUGGUAUUUCUUUGCUAUAAAAUUGCCAAGCGUUAGCUACAUAGUUAUUUCUCAUUUACUUAAUUUGUUUUCCUACGAUGUUUGACCGCCUUGGUAGCCUAUUUUUGCUUUGCCCUUUCCGGAUCCCAUCUCGAUGUUAGGUUAUGCGCCCAAUUACUGUGCUUGCACUGCUCCAUAUCAGUUUCCAAAUGCUUUCCAGUGUGCAUGUUCAAAGUUCAAACUGAUGUCGAGGAACUCAGGGAAAUGACCAAGAGAACCGAUUGUGCUACUGUUCCCUGGUGUGACAAUCAAGAACUUUGAAGGUCCAUCCAUCGGGAGCCUGGAAUUCGGAAUAUAUUGUUGAGGCCUACAGUGAUAUUAGACAUAUCACUAUGCAUUGAAUGUGUCGAGGAGAUCAGAUGAUGUGGUUACGACAAGGCUCACUUAGCAAGGAAGUGCAACCUGUACAUCGUACCCGAAUGCGCCUAUUCCAGAGGUCUGCUCUACAAAACAAGUGUAUGUCCUAUUGCCGUCGUUCGAUUGGUAUGUGCAAUGCAUUUUCAGAUCUAUGAUGUAUAAACUUAAUUAAAUCUAUGACAUAUAAGCUCAAUAUGACCUGGUCGUUUCUUAUUGGUUCCAUUACAAUUAGCUAUAUAUUUGUGUCCUGCUCUGUCCCUCCCUCCCUCUCUCAUAUGUAAUGUAAUGUGCAUCAACUUAGAGGUUCGCUCAACAAAUGAAAAAUUGCCCAUGAAGAAAAAACCUACA